UACAGAGGUGCCGAGCGUUAGGCGGAAUCACUGGGCUUAAAGCGUGUGUAGGCGGAUGCCUAAGUAUCUUGUGAAAUCCCACGGCUUAACCGUGGAACUGCUCGGUAUACUGGGUGUCUUGAGCCACUUAGGGGUUACCGGAACAAAUGGUGGAGCGGUGAAAUGCGUAGAUAUCAUUUGGAACGCCAAUGGUGAAAACAGGUAACUGGGAGUGUGCUGACGCUGAGACACGAAAGCCAGGGGAG
This 245-nucleotide ribosomal RNA is filed under the name uncultured Phycisphaera sp. RNAcentral describes it as "partial 16S ribosomal RNA". It matches the Rfam family "Bacterial small subunit ribosomal RNA", at positions 524 to 768 of the family's 1533-position model. The record is from RNAcentral. Lineage: Bacteria; Pseudomonadati; Planctomycetota; Phycisphaerae; Phycisphaerales; Phycisphaeraceae.